CAUGAUCUCGGUCUUAGCACGAAUGAAAGUUUGAACGAGGAAAGAAGAAUUUUUUCCUAUAAUUGGGCUUCGAUGGUAAAGAAAUUAUCCAUGAUUAAAUCCAUAAUAAGUGGUACCAGCCCCCAAACCUUCUCUGAAAACAAAAAAAGGGCAUUUAACUUGACUGUAAUUGGAUUACAAAAUUGUCCUGAUCACCAAGCGCGCUAUCCUAAAAUAUGUCACCUGGUUUGUUUGAGGUUCAAUUUCGUAGACGUAACUAAUGCGUUCACAUUCCG
This 275-nucleotide long non-coding RNA is filed under the name Elaeis guineensis (African oil palm). RNAcentral describes it as "long non-coding RNA (EGUI_LNC059982)". The record is from RNAcentral. Lineage: Eukaryota; Viridiplantae; Streptophyta; Magnoliopsida; Arecales; Arecaceae.